RNAcentral lists this unclassified non-coding RNA (307 nucleotides) under uncultured fungus. RNAcentral describes it as "partial contains 5.8S ribosomal RNA, internal transcribed spacer 2, and large subunit ribosomal RNA". The record is from RNAcentral. Lineage: Eukaryota; Fungi.
AACGCAAAUUGCGCUCGAGACCUCCGGGUCGAGAGCAUGUCUGCCUCAGCGUCGCUCAUACCCAAUCGACUCCUCCCCAUUUACGGAGCCGAGUCGGACCUGGCUGUCCGGUUGCAUCGCCGGUCGGCUGAAAUGGAUGCUCCGCUCCUGACCCCCCUUCAAUGGGAAGGAGUCAACCGGUAAGCAUGGCCUUCUCUUGUUGGAGUUGGUUUGGCCUGCCGUUGAAUUCCGGUUGGAAGCCACAAGGAGCCACAGGAACUUUUUGAACAUCGACCUGAGAUCAGGCAAGGACACCCGCUGAACUUAA